Molecule: unclassified non-coding RNA, 346 nt
Filed under: Cercozoa sp.
Lineage: Eukaryota; Cercozoa
Description: partial contains small subunit ribosomal RNA, internal transcribed spacer 1, and 5.8S ribosomal RNA
Rfam family: Eukaryotic small subunit ribosomal RNA (bases 1-47)
Source: RNAcentral
AAAGUCGUAACAAGGUUUCCGUAGGUGAACCUGCGGAAGGAUCAUUAACACGUAUCCACGUAUCAAAACCCCUCUGUGCAACCCUCUUACGUUAGGCUUGAUUGGAGUUGUAUUCACUCGAUCUUAAUGAUGGGAGUCCCUCUCCUUUGGGGAGGGGCUCGGGAUCUAUGAGUGUUUACCGCGUUUGACAAUCGGGCCGCUAUUUUUCCAUCGUUAGCCCUUUACUCAUUUUAACCCCUUGUACUCUUUUGUACUGAACCAAUUCUUCGAGUUUCGGCUUCGGCUGAGAUACGAAAGAUAUUACGAAACUAAAGAACAACUCUUAGCAACGGAUAUCUUGGUUCCC